Molecule: ribosomal RNA, 1232 nt
Filed under: Escherichia coli
Lineage: Bacteria; Pseudomonadati; Pseudomonadota; Gammaproteobacteria; Enterobacterales; Enterobacteriaceae
Description: partial 23S ribosomal RNA
Rfam family: Bacterial large subunit ribosomal RNA
Source: RNAcentral
AAUGGGUCAGCGACUUAUAUUCUGUAGCAAGGUUAACCGAAUAGGGGAGCCGAAGGGAAACCGAGUCUUAACUGGGCGUUAAGUUGCAGGGUAUAGACCCGAAACCCGGUGAUCUAGCCAUGGGCAGGUUGAAGGUUGGGUAACACUAACUGGAGGACCGAACCGACUAAUGUUGAAAAAUUAGCGGAUGACUUGUGGCUGGGGGUGAAAGGCCAAUCAAACCGGGAGAUAGCUGGUUCUCCCCGAAAGCUAUUUAGGUAGCGCCUCGUGAAUUCAUCUCCGGGGGUAGAGCACUGUUUCGGCAAGGGGGUCAUCCCGACUUACCAACCCGAUGCAAACUGCGAAUACCGGAGAAUGUUAUCACGGGAGACACACGGCGGGUGCUAACGUCCGUCGUGAAGAGGGAAACAACCCAGACCGCCAGCUAAGGUCCCAAAGUCAUGGUUAAGUGGGAAACGAUGUGGGAAGGCCCAGACAGCCAGGAUGUUGGCUUAGAAGCAGCCAUCAUUUAAAGAAAGCGUAAUAGCUCACUGGUCGAGUCGGCCUGCGCGGAAGAUGUAACGGGGCUAAACCAUGCACCGAAGCUGCGGCAGCGACACUGUGUGUUGUUGGGUAGGGGAGCGUUCUGUAAGCCUGUGAAGGUGUGCUGUGAGGCAUGCUGGAGGUAUCAGAAGUGCGAAUGCUGACAUAAGUAACGAUAAAGCGGGUGAAAAGCCCGCUCGCCGGAAGACCAAGGGUUCCUGUCCAACGUUAAUCGGGGCAGGGUGAGUCGACCCCUAAGGCGAGGCCGAAAGGCGUAGUCGAUGGGAAACAGGUUAAUAUUCCUGUACUUGGUGUUACUGCGAAGGGGGGACGGAGAAGGCUAUGUUGGCCGGGCGACGGUUGUCCCGGUUUAAGCGUGUAGGCUGGUUUUCCAGGCAAAUCCGGAAAAUCAAGGCUGAGGCGUGAUGACGAGGCACUACGGUGCUGAAGCAACAAAUGCCCUGCUUCCAGGAAAAGCCUCUAAGCAUCAGGUAACAUCAAAUCGUACCCCAAACCGACACAGGUGGUCAGGUAGAGAAUACCAAGGCGCUUGAGAGAACUCGGGUGAAGGAACUAGGCAAAAUGGUGCCGUAACUUCGGGAGAAGGCACGCUGAUAUGUAGGUGAAGUCCCUCGCGGAUGGAGCUGAAAUCAGUCGAAGAUACCAGCUGGCUGCAACUGUUUAUUAAAAACACAGCACUGUGCAAACAC